Molecule: non-coding RNA, 25 nt
Filed under: Mus musculus (house mouse)
Lineage: Eukaryota; Metazoa; Chordata; Mammalia; Rodentia; Muridae
Source: RNAcentral
UAUCGAUCGAGUGCCCGNACUGCUG